UGGCACUGCCCGGUAGCUAAAUGCGGAAGAGAUAAGUGCUGAAAGCAUCUAAGCACGAAACUUGCCCCGAGAUGAGUUCUCCCUGACCCUUUAAGGUCCUGAAGGAACGUUGAAGACGACGACGUUGAUAGGCCGGGUGUGUAAGCGCAGCGAUGCGUUGAGCUAACCGGUACUAAUGAACCGUGAGGCUUAACCUUACAACGCCGAAGGUGUUU
Molecule: ribosomal RNA, 215 nt
Filed under: Shigella flexneri
Lineage: Bacteria; Pseudomonadati; Pseudomonadota; Gammaproteobacteria; Enterobacterales; Enterobacteriaceae
Description: partial 23S ribosomal RNA
Rfam family: Bacterial large subunit ribosomal RNA
Source: RNAcentral